Helicoverpa armigera (cotton bollworm) is the source of this 567-nucleotide long non-coding RNA. RefSeq lists it as uncharacterized. Lineage: Eukaryota; Metazoa; Arthropoda; Insecta; Lepidoptera; Noctuidae. The record is from RefSeq and is a predicted model, not a curated record. The transcript is spliced from 2 exons.
CUCACAUGUACGCACAUACACAUGCACAUAACCUUGCCAGGGCUACUCCCUGGAGGUUAUACUCGCACAUGAACAUACCAAAAGUCAUGCAAAAUACGCCUACAGAUGUAAGUUAGUAAAGUUAAUUAUGAAGUAUCUAAUACACACAAUCGUAAGUUUCAGGCAAUACAAUUGGGAAUAAUGCCGAAGCACAGGCAAAAAUCCAGGCAUGUGGACAGAAACAGUUCGCAGCAGGAAAGGAAUGCUAGGACGCAGCCGAGGUCCAGAACUCCAGCCGUGCGUCGUAGCAGGUCACGUGAACGACGGUCGAGGAGAAGUAAGCGGGCGAGUAAGCGAUCUUGUGAGCAACGACAGCUCCGGAGCCCUUCAGUGCACGAGGUAGGAGAGAAUUCAAGAACUACUCAUAAAGGCUUAUCUAAAAGACGUAGAGUACAAAGUCAAUCAUCGCUGUCAAGUUCGGAGGAAAGGUCGCCUCGUAGGAAGAGAAGUGCUAAUUUAAGUAAUCUAGAUAUAGUUGAAAAACUUUUAAACGUUAUAGCAAGUAAAAAUACCACUGACGUAGAUAAA